AAGGCAGCAGGCACGCAAAUUACCCACUCCCGGCACGGGGAGGUAGUGACAAAAAAUAACGAUACGGGACUCAUCCGAGGCCCCGUAAUCGGAAUGAGUACACUUUAAAUCCUUUAACAAGGAUCCAAUGGAGGGCAAGUCUGGUGCCAGCAGCCGCGGUAAUUCCAGCUCCAUUAGCGUAUAUUAAAGUUGUUGCGGUUAAAAAGCUCGUAGUUGGUUCUGUGUCCCACGCUGCCGGUUCACCGCCUGACGGUGCAACUAGCAUGCCGUGGGAUGUCCUGUCGGUGGCGGCCCUGGCCCGCGGCGAGUGUAGGUUCUUCCGAAGCUCGCCGUCGGUGUUUAGGGAACGCCGAUUAAAUCCUGCCGCGGUGCUCUUCAUUGAGUGUCGAGGUAGGCCGACACGUUUACUUUGAACAAAUUAGAGUGCUCAAAGCAGGCUAUUCAUGCCUGGAUACCGGUGCAUGGAAUAAUGGAAUAGGACCUCGGUUCUAUUUUGUUGGUUUUCAGAAUCCGAGGUAAUGAUCAAUAUGGACAGGCGGGGGCAUUCGUAUUGCGACGUUAGAGGUGAAAUUCUUGGAUCGUCGCAAGACGGACUAGAGCGAAAGCAUUUGCCAAGUAUGUCUUAGUUGAUCAAGAACGAAAGUUAGAGGUUCGAAGGCGAUCAGAUACCGCCCUAGUUCUAACCAUAAACGAUGCCAGCCAGCGAUCCGCCGAUGUUCCUCCGAUGACUCGG
Molecule: ribosomal RNA, 733 nt
Filed under: Neomacrocoris parviceps
Lineage: Eukaryota; Metazoa; Arthropoda; Insecta; Hemiptera; Naucoridae
Also listed under: 1 other name
Description: SSU rRNA
Rfam family: Eukaryotic small subunit ribosomal RNA
Source: RNAcentral